This 764-nucleotide ribosomal RNA is filed under the name Leucochloron minarum. RNAcentral's name for it is "eukaryotic LSU rRNA". The stretch from base 304 to 459 matches the Rfam family "5.8S ribosomal RNA". Lineage: Eukaryota; Viridiplantae; Streptophyta; Magnoliopsida; Fabales; Fabaceae. The record is from RNAcentral.
UCCGGUGAAGUGUUCGGAUCGCGGCGACGUGGGCGGUUCGCUGCCGGCGACGUCGCGAGAAGUCCACUGAACCUUAUCAUUUAGAGGAAGGAGAAGUCGUAACAAGGUUUCCGUAGGUGAACCUGCGGAAGGAUCAUUGUCGAUGCCACGCAAAAAGAGCGACCCGUGAACCGGUUGGAACGAAACCACUGAGCGGGGGAGGGCCCGAGGGCUCCCCCGGCAACCAAACCCCGGCGCCCCAGGCGCCAAGGAAACGGAACAGAGCAAGGCACGCCCGCCGGCAUGCCAUUUGCGAUCCUAAACGACUCUCGGCAACGGAUAUCUCGGCUCUCGCAUCGAUGAAGAACGUAGCGAAAUGCGAUACUUGGUGUGAAUUGCAGAAUCCCGUGAACCAUCGAGUCUUUGAACGCAAGUUGCGCCCGAAGCCACUAGGCCGAGGGCACGUCUGCCUGGGUGUCACGCAACGUCGCCAACGCCCGGUCCUCCGGGCGCGGCGGAUGAUGGCCUCCCGGGGGCCUCGCCCCCCGGCCGGCCGAAAAAGGGGCCCGACGUGACGAGCGCCACGAUCCACGGUGGUUGAGCGGGCAUCCGCUCGGGGCCAUGACGUGCGCGCGUCGUGCCACGGAGAGGGCCCGUCGGCUGGGCGGACACGCCCACACUCGUACGCGACCCCAGGUCAGGCGGGGCUACCCGCUGAGUUUAAGCAUAUCAAUAAGCGGAGGAAAAGAAACUAACGAGGAUUCCCCUAGUAACGGCGAGCGAAC